RNAcentral lists this ribosomal RNA (487 nucleotides) under uncultured bacterium. RNAcentral describes it as "partial 16S ribosomal RNA". It matches the Rfam family "Bacterial small subunit ribosomal RNA", at positions 30 to 523 of the family's 1533-position model. The record is from RNAcentral.
AUUGAACGCUGGCGGCAUGCCUAACACAUGCAAGUCGAACGGGGCAGCAAUGCCUAGUGGCGGACGGGUGAGGAAUACGUAGGAAUCUGCCCUUAAGUGGGGGAUAACCAGGGGAAACCCUGACUAAUACCGCAUGAUCUCUUCGGAGCAAAGAGGGGGACCGCAAGGCCUCUCGCUUCUGGAUGAGCCUACGUCUGAUUAGCUAGUUGGUAGGGUAAAGGCCUAACAAGGCGACGAUCAGUAACUGGUCUGAGAGGAUGAUCAGUCACACCGGAACUGAGACACGGUCCGGACUCCUACGGGAGGCAGCAGUGGGGAAUAUUGGACAAUGGGCGCAAGCCUGAUCCAGCAAUGCCGCGUGUGUGAAGAAGGCCUUCGGGUUGUAAAGCACUUUAGCCUGGAAAGAAAAAACUUUGGUUAACACCCAAAGUCUUGACGGUACCAGGAGAAUAAGCACCGGCUAACUCUGUGCCAGCAGCCGCGGUAA